This is a non-coding RNA of Acanthosepion pharaonis, 80 nucleotides long. The record is from the annotation of a GenBank genome assembly. Lineage: Eukaryota; Metazoa; Mollusca; Cephalopoda; Sepiida; Sepiidae.
UACGAUCACCGAAGUUAAGCAACGGUGAGCUUGGUCAGUACCAAGAUGGAUGACCGCUUGGGAGUACCAGGUGAUGUAAG